UUCAAUUAUCAAAAUUAAACUUCUGAACUCGUCUUGUGAAAUUAAAAAUGAAUCCUCCGCCUGUCGUCUUUGUAUAGCCCCAAUUUUCUGCGGCUACUGCACAAAGUAAUGUCUGGCAGACCGGGUUGAUGGACUGCUGCAGUGACUGUGGAGUCUGCCUAUGUGGAAUAUUCUGUUUCUAUUGUCUUGGAUGUCAAGUAGCAAGUGACAUGAAUGAAUGCUGCUUGUGUGGCGGAAGCGUUGCCAUGAGGACUCUCUACCGGACAAAAUACGGAAUCCCUGGAUCCAUCUGUUCUGAUUUCUGUACUAUCCUCUGGUGUGGUUUAUGUUCUCUUUGUCAACUCAAGAGAGAUAUUAACCGAAGGAAGGAAAUGGGGAUAUUCUAGUAAGAUGUUCCUGUACUCGUUAGUUGUGAGGCCUAGAAUCUCCAUAAGCAAGAGUCUUCUCCUCUCCUGCUGUACUUACUGUUCAAGAAAGUGCUGUAUGCAUUGUAAUUUGAUUGUUGCAAAGCACGACUUAUCUGAAAUAAAUCAAUAAAGUAAAGCAACAACC
Non-coding RNA from Chelonoidis abingdonii (Abingdon island giant tortoise), 552 nucleotides. The record is from RefSeq and is a predicted model, not a curated record. Lineage: Eukaryota; Metazoa; Chordata; Testudines; Testudinidae.